GACAAGUGAAACUCACAAAUAUACAUGUGUAUAUGUGAACAUUAUGUGAGCCACCAUUAUGUGAUAGUAGUACUCCCUUCAUCCCAUUAUAUCUGACGUUUUAGAGUAUUUUUUUAUUCCCAAAAUAUUUAUCGUUUUACCAUCCCAAGAAUAUUUUACCUAUUUUUUUCCUUCUCUACCCUUCCUUCUCCCCUUUAAUGGUUAUUUUCUCUGUCCCUCCGCAGAUGCUUGCUUAUCUCUACAUGACAUCUCUGUCCAAGACCACUUCCUUCUCAUCACCGGCCUCCGACGGCGACGCCGAGGAUUUGCGUAUGCGGGAGGCUGAGGAUCGGCUGAGGGAGGCCAUGGAGGAAUUGGAGCGCCGGCAGCGGCAUAUUCAUCUCCGUGCGAUCACGCCGACGAUUCAUUCGUCACCAACGCCAUCGGAAACCUCUGUCAGAGCUUCCUACUCUCGUACGGUGUUCGCGUAGGUUUUGGACAACCGGUCAGAUCCGGCCAUUGUUUUACUAACCGGUCAGAUCUCGGUCAGAUCCGGGCGACGAAAAGAUGAAGAAGACGGAGCGUAGGAUGAGAAAAGAGUGGAGUAUUUGAAUAAGAACUGAAAAUGAUUUGGAAAACCGUGUAAUUAAUUUUUGUGUCAUCUCGUUUCCCUGUUGUAGUAUUAAUUAUGAGUAUUCAGUAGUACUGUAAAAGGUUGGUGAUGAUGUUUGGCUGGGGCCAGGCUACCAUCUUUGUCUUUGAUGGGGUUUUUCUCCAAGUGUGGCUCAACAGUUGGAAUAAUAUUUUUCUUUAGAUGAUAGAGAUGAAGAAGACGAGUGCAGGCUGACAGAUCUGAUCGACAGAGCACAUGAUGAGUUAUAAUGAGAUAGAUGGUAAAAUAGUAAAAUUGCAUCUAUUCUUAAUUUGUGUGAAAAUCUGUAGAACCACAUAUAUAAUGGGAUGGAAGAAGUAUUAUUUUAUAAGCAUAUUGGGAUUAUAAGUAUAAAUAUUAUUAUAAUUAUUUGUAGAGAAUUCACAACAAAAAAUAAUAUUUCUUCAAUAAAAAUAAAAUCGUCGUUAUAGAUUUUAUAGUGACGUUUUUCAUCGUCAUUAUAGAUUUAUAACGAUACUUUUAUCGUAAAAUAUCAAAA
This 1130-nucleotide long non-coding RNA is filed under the name Panax ginseng (ginseng). RNAcentral's name for it is "long non-coding RNA (PGIN_LNC001893)". The record is from RNAcentral. Lineage: Eukaryota; Viridiplantae; Streptophyta; Magnoliopsida; Apiales; Araliaceae.